This 74-nucleotide transfer RNA is filed under the name Cyclobacteriaceae bacterium. RNAcentral describes it as "tRNA-Asp". It matches the Rfam family "tRNA". Rfam says of the family: Transfer RNA (tRNA) molecules are approximately 80 nucleotides in length. Lineage: Bacteria; Pseudomonadati; Bacteroidota; Cytophagia; Cytophagales; Cyclobacteriaceae. RNAcentral also lists the same sequence under 1 other name. The record is from RNAcentral.
GGAACGGUAGUUCAGUUGGUUAGAAUGCCGCCCUGUCACGGCGGAGGUCGCGGGUUCGAGUCCCGUCCGUUCCG